Molecule: unclassified non-coding RNA, 379 nt
Filed under: uncultured bacterium
Lineage: Bacteria
Description: contains 16S-23S intergenic spacer region
Source: RNAcentral
UCACCGCUUGCGCGGGCAGUCUCAUUAGAGUCCUCAGCAUUACCUGCUAGCAACUAAUGAUAGGGGUUGCGCUCGUUACGGGACUUAACCCAACAUCUCACGACACGAGCUGACGACAGCCAUGCGGCACCUGUCUCUAGGCUCCUUUCGGCACUCCGGUAUCUCUACCAGAUCCCCAGGAUGUCAAGGGUAGGUAAGGUUCUUCGCGUUGCAUCGAAUUAAACCACAUGCUCCACCGCUUGUGCGGGCCCCCGUCAAUUCCUUUGAGUUUCAACCUUGCGGUCGUACUCCCCAGGCGGGGUACUUCCUGCGUUAGCGCCGGCACCCAGAGGGUCGCUCCCCCAGGCACCUAGUACCCAUCGUUUACGGCGUGGACUAC